GCUGACGAGUGGCGGACGGGUGAGUAAUGUCUGGGAAACUGCCUGAUGGAGGGGGAUAACUACUGGAAACGGUAGCUAAUACCGCAUAACGUCGCAAGACCAAAGAGGGGGACCUUCGGGCCUCUUGCCAUCGGAUGUGCCCAGAUGGGAUUAGCUAGUAGGUGGGGUAACGGCUCACCUAGGCGACGAUCCCUAGCUGGUCUGAGAGGAUGACCAGCCACACUGGAACUGAGACACGGUCCAGACUCCUACGGGAGGCAGCAGUGGGGAAUAUUGCACAAUGGGCGCAAGCCUGAUGCAGCCAUGCCGCGUGUAUGAAGAAGGCCUUCGGGUUGUAAAGUACUUUCAGCGGGGAGGAAGGGAGUAAAGUUAAUACCUUUACUCAUUGACGUUACCCGCAGAAGAAGCACCGGCUAACUCCGUGCCAGCAGCCGCGGUAAUACGGAGGGUGCAAGCGU
Molecule: ribosomal RNA, 458 nt
Filed under: Escherichia coli
Lineage: Bacteria; Pseudomonadati; Pseudomonadota; Gammaproteobacteria; Enterobacterales; Enterobacteriaceae
Description: bacterial SSU rRNA
Rfam family: Bacterial small subunit ribosomal RNA
Source: RNAcentral